This 253-nucleotide ribosomal RNA is filed under the name uncultured bacterium. RNAcentral describes it as "partial 16S ribosomal RNA". It matches the Rfam family "Bacterial small subunit ribosomal RNA", at positions 524 to 776 of the family's 1533-position model. The record is from RNAcentral.
CACGUAGGGAGCAAGCGUUGUCCGGAAUCAUUGGGCGUAAAGCGCGCGUAGGCGGCCCGAUAAGUCCGCUGUGAAAGUCAACGGCUCAACUGUUGGAUGCCGGUGGAUACUGUCGGGCUAGAGUACGGAAGAGGCAAGUGGAAUUCCUGGUGUAGCGGUGGAAUGCGCAGAUAUCAGGAGGAACACCUAUAGCGAAGGCAGCUUGCUGGGACGUUACUGACGCUAAGGCGCGAAAGCGUGGGGAGCGAACAGG